Molecule: ribosomal RNA, 523 nt
Filed under: uncultured bacterium
Lineage: Bacteria
Description: partial 16S ribosomal RNA
Rfam family: Bacterial small subunit ribosomal RNA
Source: RNAcentral
GACGAACGCUGGCGGCGUGCCUAAUACAUGCAAGUCGAACGCUUUUUCUUUCACCGGAGCUUGCUCCACCGAAAGAAAAAGAGUGGCGAACGGGUGAGUAACACGUGGGUAACCUGCCCAUCAGAAGGGGAUAACACUUGGAAACAGGUGCUAAUACCGUAUAACACUAUUUUCCGCAUGGAAGAAAGUUGAAAGGCGCUUUUGCGUCACUGAUGGAUGGACCCGCGGUGCAUUAGCUAGUGGGUGAGGUAACGGCUCACCAAGGCAACGAUGCAUAGCCGACCUGAGAGGGUGAUCGGCCACACUGGGACUGAGACACGGCCCAGACUCCUACGGGAGGCAGCAGUAGGGAAUCUUCGGCAAUGGACGAAAGUCUGACCGAGCAACGCCGCGUGAGUGAAGAGGGUUUUCGGAUCGUAAAACUCUGUUGUUAGAGAAGAACAAGGAUGAGAGUAAAAUGUUCAUCCCUUGACGGUAUCUAACCAGAAAGCCACGGCUAACUACGUGCCAGCCGCCGCAGUAA